Molecule: ribosomal RNA, 1740 nt
Filed under: Triticum aestivum (bread wheat)
Lineage: Eukaryota; Viridiplantae; Streptophyta; Magnoliopsida; Poales; Poaceae
Description: partial small subunit ribosomal RNA
Source: RNAcentral
AUGAUGGGUCGGGCGGGGAAGCUGACGUGCCUGGAAGAGCUGUGGCUGCACUCUGCGGACAAGUCCCCGGACUUCGCCGCCGAGCUCCGGAAGCUGAGCAAGAUGCGGGUGCUGGUGAUGCACUUUGACGAGGUGGACGAGGGCAUGCAGAAGAAGCUGGUGGAAUCUCUGGUCCAUCUGAACAAGCUCCAGGUCCUGCAGUUCUGGUUCAGCACAGAGGGAAAGAUCCGCCUCAACAGCUGGGGUGACAACGUGCCCUUCCCAGAGCUCCGGCAGCUGCUGCUGUUCGGGGCCAUCCUACCCAAGGAGACACCGUGGAUCCAUCACUCGUCUGCUCCGAAACUCUACAAACUACUGCUGCAGGUGGAGACCUUGCAGGCACAACACCUGGAGAUCCUUGGGCAGAUGCCGUCACUCCGCUCUCUCUACCUCCACAUGGAGGAGGACAAGUAUCGCCUGUCGUACACCGCCGGCAGGGACGAGUUCAAGGUGUUAGAGUGCCUCAACACCAACAUAGAGCUGGUAUGCGGCGAUGGGGCGCUGCCACUAAUUCAGCAGCUGGAGGUUUGCGGCAUCAUAGGGGUGGACGUUGGCCUGCUGGGGAACAUGCCCCUACUCGAGAAGGCCACAUACCACCUCGACUGCAGGGGCUGCGGCCCCGCGGAGGUGCGUGAGGCAGAGGAAGCGCUGGGACAGGCGAGCCAACAACAUCCCAACAGACCAGUCGUCACCAUAAAGAGAUGGAACGACGAGUUAUGUUCCUCUUCAUUUCAGGAAACGAGCGUUAGUGAUUCUGAAAGUGAAAGCCAAGUCUCUACCGACAACAUGUCAGCUUGUUACCACGACCCGUUUGCACGCCAUGUUGAGCCAUCGCCACCUCAGGUCGACACCGACGACAGUGUACUCUCCUUGCUUAACAGCUCGGAUGGAGCCGCUCUUUUGUCGGAUGAAGCGGCCAAGUUAACAAUCGGUCCUCUUCUCUCCGGUGGCUAUUGCUACAUCACCCAAGCUGGCUACCUAGCUUGCAGAGACACUGCCGCUGGGGAAAGGUUACACAGUGCUGAAGCCAUGGAGCCAACCAGUGUAAAGAUGGAAUUAUUAAGAAAGAUCACAACGAAUUUCGCAGAGGAGCGAGUACUUGGUAAAGGUGCAUAUGGAAAAGUUUACAGGGGUGUGUGCGACGACGACGGACAAGUGGUUGCUGUGAAGCUGCUCUAUAAUCUAAAGCAAACAAUUGAUGAUGAACAAUUCAUACGUGAGUUUAAAAACCUUAUGAUGCUAAAGCAUCCGAACAUCGUAAGGUUAGUUGGCUACUGCUAUGAAACACAACGCCAACAUGCAGACUAUGAAGGAACCAUUGUUUUUGGCGAAACAACAGACAAAGCACUUUGCUUCGAGUAUAUGCCCAAGGGGAGCCUUCAUAAUCAUCUGUCCGAUGAAUGCAAUGGACUUGAUUGGCAAUCACGUUACAAAAUUAUCAAAGGGGUUUGUGAAGGCUUAAGAUACCUUCAUGAAGGAUUCGAAAAACCAUUUUAUCAUCUGGACCUAAAACCAGACAAUAUACUUCUAGAUGAAAACAUGCCCCCAAAACUUGCAGAUUUUGGUUUGUCCAAGUGCUAUGGCGAAGAACAGACCAGGAUGACACAAGUCCUAUUGGAACUUUUGGAUACAUGCCACCAGAAUACUUAUUUGGAAGAAAGGUUUCAAAGAAGUUUGACAUUUAUAGUCUGGGUGUUGUAG